UGGGGAAUAUUGGGCAAUGGGCGCAAGCCUGACCCAGCAACGCCGCGUGAAGGAUGAAGGUUUUUCGGAUUGUAAACUUCUUUUAAGAGGGACGAUAAUGACGGUACCUCUUGAAUAAGCCCCGGCUAACUACGUGCCAGCAGCCGCGGUAAUACGUAGGGGGCAAGCGUUAUCCGGAUUUACUGGGUGUAAGGGCGUGUAGGCGGGAUUUCAAGUCAGAUGUGAAAACCGAAGGCUCAACCUUCGGCCUGCAUUUGAAACUGAAGUUCUUGAGUGCUGGAGAGGCUAACGGAAUUCCUAGUGUAGCGGUGAAAUGCGUAGAUAUUAGGAAGAACACCAGUGGCGAAGGCGGUUAGCUGGACAGUAACUGACGCUGAGGCGCGAAAGCGUGGGGAGCAAACAGGAUUAGAUACC
Molecule: ribosomal RNA, 414 nt
Filed under: uncultured bacterium
Lineage: Bacteria
Description: bacterial SSU rRNA
Rfam family: Bacterial small subunit ribosomal RNA
Source: RNAcentral